CAGCCGCCGGGCGCACGGAGCCGCCACCAUCUUCGCUGCUGCUGCCGCCGCCGCCGCGCUCCCGAGAGCCGCCGCAUCCGCCGCGGCACCGAGUUUUCAGCCGGGCAGAGCCAGACGUCAGCAGGAGGAGGGCGGAGAACAACACAAGACUCCUAAUCCCUUUAAUACAUAUGGAGGACAUAGACCUUUUCCCUGGGAAUCUGGAAUUUUUACUAGUCUAAGCAUCAAUCUGAAAGAGCAAAACAGGGUAAGAAAUUAUUCCUUGAGAAUUUCUCCAUCUCAGACUACAGGUCACUGUCUGCUCUGCAAAAAGUUCCCAAAACAUUGCUUUUUGGUUUUAAACACUGAUAUAUUGCUAGACUUCAAAGGUAGAGGAAGUGUAUUUUGAUUUUUUGGAACCACAGAACCACCAUUAACUUCAUGUUCUGCAAUUCAGUCAUUUUAUGGUUUACAUGUGUGUUCUUCACAACUCAGGUAUACUGUACCAUGGAAAUGCACUCUUCCACAUUUUCUUUUCAUAAACAAAACCACAAUUCUUUUCCAGGUACUCAUUUUACAUCAGGCUACUCUCCAUGUGGGUUAUAAAAUUCAGGAUCUCUCUUAUGUGCAUGGGCAGAACUAAAGUCUAAAGAGACGUGACCACUGCUUGCAAGAAAUGCCUUCCAUUUCUCAUAAAACUUGAGAUUCCAGCAAACAUUUCUUAAUCCACCCUGGUUUCAUUUUGCCACAUCACAAAUGCAAACUCUGGUGUCAAUGAAUAUGCAAAAGCCAAAUUUUUGACACCAACAUUUCAUUGUGGUAACACUGUCUAUAAAUUGUCAACUGAACAUACUGUGUCAGGAUUCAAAGACAAUAAAAGCAGGUUCUGUGUUCAGUUUGUAUGAAAUACCUGAUAUGGAUGUGGAAUGUAUAUUACACCUUUCUUGUGAGAGAUAAAUUUAGUUCAGGACCUUGGCAUAUGCUCCACUUCAGGAAGUGAAGGAAAAUGGAAGAAUUAUUCCCUUCACCAUCACAUUAAAGCAUCCCUUUUUCUUUAUAAUCUCUUGCAUAAAAACCUUUUACUAUCAAUGAGGGGAAAUGGCUGUAUAUGUACUUUAUAUACAGCCCUCCAUGUUGUGACAGCUUUUUCUUUCAGCCAGUGGUCGAGGAUAAUCACGGAAGGAUUACCCAUCUGUUCUUGCCAUGUGGCAUUCUGUCUCAGUAAGAAGAUACUGCAGUUCACAGCUUCCUGCAGUUCUUUUUUUUUUCUGAUGUUCUCUCAUUAACUAAAAAUUGUUUUAUUAACCAUCUGAGUUGCUAAGUUGGAAAGUCUGGAAGACUCAUGAAGGUGACCUACUUUGGAUUAUCUAAAUUAGAACUAACUGCUGCCUGUUGCAAAUAUCAUUUUGUUUGGAUGCAGAAGGUUUCUUUGGCUUGGGCUUUCAUUCUAGGUUUUGCCUUUUUUUCUGUCCACUUGAUGGAAAAAGACAAGUGGUACACAAAGAAGGAUAAUCAAAGGAGAAGAGAUGGAAAAAAAGACUUUUUCACUAAGAGUUGACUUUGUAGGUUGGUUUUACAUGAUUAGCCAGUUUUUCAGAACACCCAAUAGUUUUCAGACUACAUUUGCUAUGAUGUCAUACCAGUGCAAAGUAUAUGUAGAGAUUUAUCCCAGUAAUCUCCUGAAACAUGUUCUAUGUGUCUAAACUCCUACUGAGUUAUCACUAUUGCUGCAGGAAGAAUGACUAGAAAGGAAACAAGGUUUUAAAGAAGAUUUCAAUAGUCUUUCAUUUUUCCUAACACUGGGAAAUACAGUAUUUUAAAGACAAAGUUUUAUUCUUAACCUCCUGAUAUGAUACAAAUUCAUCUGCAUAAAAGCUUGCUCUGAAAACAUAUUAAAUAGCGUGACUGUUCUUCAUGAACAGAGCCAUUUUGUGGUAGUUGAUUUAAUACAAGCUUUUCUGUCAGGAAACAUUGUUUAUGAUGGUGUGUCAAACCCGGUAUUGGCAGCCUCAGCAGAUCCUUUGCUACCACUGAUGCACUCGUGUCCCUUGUGCACACUGGGCAGUCCCACAGAGCAGAACGUGUCAGGUGGGGCUGGAACUCUGCCAGUGUGUGACAGGGACAUUUGCCUGAGCUUCUGCAUAAAGUCUCCAAACCCUUGGACAAAGCUUCCCAGGGCAGGGAGUGUGGGAAGUGCAUCUGGGCCAUUUUUCCUGGGAGAGGGGAACUGAGCAGGUACCCUGAUUUCCUACUGCAGUUUCUAACAGCUGAGUUGGCAAAAGAGUGUUUCAGCUUCCCUCUGACACCAGUCUGCCAACACCAUGGGCUAUGUGGGAUAUUACAGAGCAAAGACAAUUAUACAAAUUUAAGCAAGCAAACUUGAUAAUUAUCAUUAAUCUUUCUGUAUUUAGAAAGUCAUUAGUAAAAACAGGUGCAAAAAUCAGUUUGGCUAUAAUUUGGAUGCUACAAGAAAAGGAAGUUUUCAGAUGUGCCUUAAAAGACAUACAGGGUUUGUCUUUUUUUUUAAGAGUAAGGCAUUAGUCCAUGUAUGGCAAAGUUGACUGUGUCAUACAUUUUAUCUGUGUCAUACAUUUAUCUUCUGAGCUGGAUGGGACCCACAAGGAUCAUCAAGUCCAACUCUUAAGUGAAUGGCCCAUACAGAGAUCCAACCCACAACCUUGGCACUAUUAGCACCAUGCUCCAGCCAAGUGAGCUAAUCCCAGUGUUGGUCUGUAUGGUUUGGGCUUCAUAAUAAUUUCUGCUUUGAUGAACUUGAGGACUGGAAGGAAAAAGAGCUGGUAAACCUAUCUGUCCACAUCAGCAACCUCACAGAAAACACACCAGCCCCCUGCAAUUUGCAGAGCUGUGCUGCUGACCGUGCCUGAGCAGAGGCUACUGUGCAGUGCUGGCUUGCACACACUUGUAAUCAGUGGUUUGUCUGCUGGUGUGUCAGCCUGCAGCUGCACAAGUCAGGUGUGCAUGGACAUGGCCCAGUUACACCACAGAACAGCAUAUAUUUUCAUAACCACUUUUAAGGAGAGGGCAUGGUUUGGUGCCCACCAUUGCAGCUCCAUCAGUUUUUAAAAUUGAUACUCAUCUCACAUAGAGGCACUCUGGAUGUGCUGACUCUUCAAUGAGGGCUGCUGGAGGCAGAGGCUUGUUUGCUCUGUGGUCUCAUUGAGGGAGAUACUAAAUUCUGCUGCUUCUACUUCAUUCAGGUCUGCCUUAUAAGAGGGAGAUACAUGACUGCAGUUCUACCUUUUGUACAGUACAGUUCUUGCCAUGAAAACUCAGUGCUGAAAUUACUGGUUCCUUCCACCUAUUUCGUUAUUAAGCUGUGGGUAUGACACACAUCUGACAACUCGUUUUCCUGGAGAACAUUCUGCUCCAAAAGGCCAGGAGGUGUUUGCCACUGUUGUGAUGUGCAGGAGACACCUGCCUGCUCAAAUACCUAAAUGCCUGUAUGCACAAAACCCAGGAUAUGCAUGCAUAGGCCUUUUGAAUAGACAAGGAGAUGCCAUGGAUAAAAGUGUAGCUCCCAGAAUACAGAUUAGGGAUUGGAAUUUAAAUUGCAAUAUUUUACCCUAGGACUGAUGCUAAAAGGUUUUAUGUUUCUUGCACAGGCAGAGAAAAUUAAGAAAAUAAACUAAAUAUUAUUCAGUGAAAGGGAAAAUAAGUAGACCCUAAGUGACUACACUGUGCCCUUAAACAAUUCAAGUAUUGUAUUCUCCAAAUUAAAAUACAAGAUAAAUUCUUCAGGAAGUCCAUAUAACAAGUUAUUUGUCCAUAUUGUGCAAGUCACCCUUAAGAUCAAACAAAAUGUUAUGAUGAAUUUUAAUCCAACUUCUGAAUUGUAGUAAAUUUUGACAACACAUGAAUGAUCCACUUCAACACAAUCUGCAUUUUCAACACAGUGACUUGUGUGACAUAUGGCUCUUUUGCCCUGGGAUGGCUUCUAGUAUUGCAAUUUGAUGUAAUAGUGGCACACACCUUUCUUGAUUAGUGAAAGUUCUUCAUUAGAUCUUUCUUUUGCUGAAAAGUAUUAUAAUAAAAUAUUUUAUAUGUCUCAUGAUGUAAAUAAGCACUUGAAAUUCCUAUAAAUUCAAGCAAUUAGAUCUCAACCCAAGAAAGCACUUAAUGACAUUUAUGGUCCCAGUGAGUUUGGGGACAUAUGCAAGGGCUUCAAUCAAAACAUGUACUUAGGAGCUUUGCUGGAUUGAGGCCUUACAAAAUGAUGCUAUGCAGAUCAGAUACUAUUCAUAAAAUAUUAUUUAGUGAAUAAGGUAAUUUGCUUAUUAGCCAAAAAAGAGGCUCUAGAAUCCUUCUCAAAAAGUUAUAUACAGGCAGAUCUCACAUUGCUAUUACCUCCUUAACCCUGAUCCUCCAGAUUUACACAAAUGUUGAGGAGACUAUAGCUGAUCCUAUAUAACACUGAAAUUUCUCAAAUGGCCACAUUCUUGCCUGGAAACUGAACCAACAAAUUUGGUAGCUCAUUCUGCUAGAUGAACUCCACUGAAACAGAUUCUUACCUCACACUUAGAUUUACCUGAGCACAGAUGAAAAAUGCAAAGAGGAUCUGUAUCAUUUAUUUUUAAGCCCCAUGUAGUGAAGAAAAAGGCAUAUUAUGCAUUUCAUGCAUUAUUCUCUACUUUGUGCUGUAGAUAAUUGGCAGAGCUUUUCAGUGAAAAAACAAUCUGACCAAAUUCUCAGAGCCUCAUGCUCUGCAAAAAUCUGUCUUAAGUUAAUCUAUAUUACAAGUAAUAUUCAAGUUGACUGCACUCAUAUGAAAAAUGUAUUUAGAAAGGUCUAGAAGAUACAAUCUGCUAUUUCUUGCCCAACUUUGUUCCCUGCUGUUGUUGGUCUCUCACGGGAUUUCUUGCAGAGUGGUUAAGUGAUCUAUACUGAGGUUUCAAAAGCAAAGAUAAUAGGAGUUCUAUUCAUGGGUUAAACACUUAGCUGCUUUAAUACAAGAUGUGUAGGAGCAGCCCCUAAUGACAUUCAAAUCUUGUUAUUGCUGUGCUUCAGUAUAGGAUAUACUUGGUUUUGUGGCUGCAAGAAGCAAUUGCCAGAGAUGACUGUAAAUCCCAAACAGCAAAUAAAUCCCAGCAUAUGGAAAAGAUGCCUGAUUUUGCUCUCACAGCAGGGCAUCUUUGGACUUCACCGUGCUGGCUCCUGACUUACAGCAAUGCAAGUGACCCAGAGCAAUCAGUGGCUGGUCCCAUAUCUACCCUGGGGUCUGGCUGCAGGGGCACCAGCUCUUAGCUUCACAUUGGCAUAACAUUUCUAACCCUGCUUUGUAAAACACUGCUGCCUGUUCUUAGAGUCCUGGCCAUUCCCCUAAAAGCAGUAUUAUGGCAAGCUCUGAGCCUUCAGUAUCUUUGAAUCACAUGUCCAACUUACUUUUCUUAUGUCCUCCAAGGCUUGCUAAUACUUGUCCUCAUUCCCUGGUGGAGAUAAUUCUACUGAAAACAUACAGGAACACUCCUACAGUUCCUCAAGCAAAUUUGUUUGACAUAGCUCAGACUAUCCAUUUAUAAAUUUUAAACUUACCCAGCUGGCUCUGUCAGAAGCCUAUUAGGCAGGACUCUCACAAACUGCUCUCCUUCAGAGCAGUAAAGACUAUUUGAGAAUGGUGAUCUUGUCCUCUGACACAGCUGGACUGGAAAGGAAGUAGAAAUGAGUGAAAAGAGCAACCCCCUCCCCGGGUUUCUAAGUAAUUGUGCAAAAGGGCUAAAAAACUGCUUAGUCUUGCUAUGGAGAAAUGAAAAUGAGCACUCUGAACAAGGAGAAAUAUUUCUGUCUCUGCUGUUCUUUGCUUCCUCCUCUGGACUAACCUGCAAAAUAUCACUGUUGGCCAAGCAGAAGUGUCACAGAAACAAUUAAAAAUCUUGUGGAGGAGAAAGUGCUGUAUGCUUUACCACCCCUUGCUAAAAGUCAAUGAGCAAACCAUCUAAGUCCUUAACCCAGCAUGGGGUUACAUUGGAAAUGGCAAAUUCUGUGACACAGCCUAUCUGUGCUGUGUCAUAAGGGGAAAAAAGAGAAAUGAAAAUAUGUAUCUUGGGACAAUAUUAGUAGAUAAGCUUACGGCCUUUAAAUAUACAUAAGACUGUUGGAAAGAGAAAAACAAUUAGUUGUUCUGAGUUCAAUUACAACAAGAAAAUGUUUAGAAAGACAUUAAUAAAACUUUCUAGGCACUGUUAAGAUAAUUUAGGGAAGUUGUGAGAUCUCCAAAACAGUUUAGUUGAAUAAGCUGUUGGAGUGGCUUAAGUGCUUCUGAUUUUCCUCGAGAUCAAAAUGACUUUUCAGGAUCCCUUCCAUCCCAAUAUGCUGCAAUACUACAGAACACGCUAGCAGGGGAACCAAAGGGGCAGGAGCCCUUCAGUUCUAUGUGGAAACAUAGUUGAAUUUGAUGUUUCCUAUCUGCAAAUCAGGAUGCUAGAAAAAUAAACAGUAUUAAUAUACAGUAUUAUUUCACUGAAAGAAUCUUGAGAAACAAUUGCAAUAAGAAGAUCCAGUCAUGGCUUAAGAAAUGUUUGCAAAGAGCAGAAACAGGAGACCAGAAUUCAGUGUUUGUGGAAGGCUGGCAGCCCCCCAGGAGAGUGCUGCAUUUCCCACCCCAGCGGGCAGUGGCAGCGAGGUCGGGCAGUGCCUGUGAGCUCCAGCAGAGCCCUGUGUGGGCAGCUCCUCUGAGCCCCUCAUUCAGAGCUAAUUCUGCUUUUCAUUGACUGAGCUCACCCUGCAGUUAUUCUGCAGGUAGAUCCCUGGCUGUUUCUUGCAUGUUGCAUGCACUGCAACUGCGUGGCCGAGAUUGCCCCUCUCCUUCAGAAUUCAUGGUGAGCACAGCCAUUACAGCAAACAGCUAAAUACGGCUUUUGGCCGCCAAAUUUCACUUUCAUUGCUGUCAGAACAUCACUUAUCAUGGCUGGGCUAUAAUUUUCAGGCUUGUAAAACCUCAAUUGUCAUGUUUGGAUUUUCUUUAACACUUAUUAUAAAUGCAUGAAUUUGAUUUGUGUAGAAUGGAAUGACUCUCGGUGGCUCAGGGAUUUGGCAAAAAGCUUCAUACAUUUCAUCAAAAUUCUGUUUGGCCUAGAGAGGCGUUACAAUUCUAGAUAAAAAAUGUGUUUUUUUAAUACAGAUGUAAUUUGUAAUAGAAUGUUCCAAAAUAAUUCUGUAUUACAGAUGAACUGAAACAAAACCAACAUGAUCUUUUCCUCUCUACCAUGGGAAUUAAUUCAGAUUGAGAAAAAGGAAUUGGGAGAGUCUGAUUUGACACAUUUUGCAAAAUACAUGGUGGGUGAGUGCAGGGGAAGGAAGCAAUUCCAUCACCUUGAGCAGGAGGCCAAGAAGUGAGCACAUACAGUUCCUUGCAGUAAUCCUUGGAGCUGUCUAGGAGCCUUAGGCAGUGUUAGGGAGCAGCAAUAUUUGUGUAAAUCAUAAUUAGUAACAAAGCAAAUUACAGUGAGAGCUCUUUGGUAAACAGAAAGAGGAAGUCUGCUGAAAUUUGCUUCCUUUUAGUAGGACAAUUUGGAUUAUUUAUAGGCAUCUGAACAUUUGGAAAAAUCUAGGAAGAAUCUGAAAAUGCCAUGUUUCUAAAACAAAAGAUAAAGUUUUACCCUUUUUGGGUCAUAUAACUUGGAUCUAUAUUUACACUGGGUUGAAGCUUUUGACUAAGCAAAUACAUAUGCAUGAAAUCUUAUUUUUACACUUAAUUUUGGUGUUUUGGUAAAUGCAAAUGAUGGAAGAAGUUGACAUGAAUAAAUUGGCACCAGCUUAGAAGUCACCUCACUGCAAAGCGAGAGACAUUUGGGACUGUUCAUCACCUUGCUGCAGGGAAGGCUUCUGGUGUUAAGUCAGUCAGUCUCAUGUUAUGUAUCAGGAAUGUUUUCAACUCUAGGCUGAGGAUCUACAAGCUCUUGAAGGAGCCAAGAAACAAAUGCAAUACUUGAGCAUGUUUACUGUAAAAUGAAGGGCUAUUUUAUCUCAAUCAAAUAAACCAACAAGUGAACUGCAAAUCUGAUACUGAAAUAAAUCCAAUUUACUCUUGGGUAAUUGCUUAUUUGAUUCUCAACUAUGACAUGAAGUUAGAAAACAAAUUGAUAUUCUGUCACUUCUGUUUCAGUAAACUUAACUCAAACAAGUUGCCCUUUAGGUGCAUCUUGGAUAGAAUGGUACUUUAUCUUCAUCCCAAGGAAAUCAGUGUAUUAAAUUUGUUUGAAAAAUUAUUAUCCAAACCAUGACUCCUUUUCAGACAGCGUUUGAACUGCAUACUAAAAAGGCCAAAUUUCCCCUGAGAGCCAGCACAAGCACAGGGAAGAUAAGUACUGUGGUAUAUCCUCCCUCUGCAAGAAAAUGUACCAGCAGCAAAGACACAACAUAACCACAGAGAAACUCAGUGAGCACAGAAACUGCAGAAAUCUUGUGGGCAUGGGCAUCUUCCUCUUUCCUCAUGGCCAAAAUACAAUGCUGAUGUGACUCAGCAUUUCAGGAAUAAGCUAUAUAGACCCUAUACUGCCUCAGCCAUGAGCAGAGUACUAAAUCCAGCACCACAUCCACAGUGGUGAAGUUAAUAAACUGAAAGGUGUCAAAACCAAAGGAGUAAUGAAAGGGCAGGGAAUAGGGGGAACACCCUUUCUGCUGAGAAGUUCUAGGGGCUGAAAACGUUUGUUGAAAUAAAAGAGAAUCAAGAUUCACACAAAAAAAACGAGGCUAUGUUGUUUAGCACAGCUGAGGUCAGGAAAGGGGCUGGCUGACUCUGCAGCUGGGACUGCAUGGAAAGGCUGGGAUUGAAACUGCCCAUAGGACACUCACCCUGGACUCACAGGGAGUCAUCGUCAUCAUCUCUAGUUUAAAGGUCACAUCAAGGCAGGUUUAGGAAAAAAAGAAAUUCCCUUAAAUGGUCCAAGGUAUAACUAAUGUCUGUGCAAGCUGAGAAAAGAUUACAAAAAUGGACCCUGUUUUUUUAAUAAUUUUUCAAUUUAUAAAUGUAGGGAAAUGGUUGUUCUGGACAAAUUACCAUUUUUGUGAUAUAUUCUACUUUAAUUAUAAAGAAUUUUGGAUUAGUUCAUAUGCUUAAAGCUACACUAAUAAAAUUAGAGUUACAGAAGCAGAUAUUAAUUAAAUAAUGAGGUAGGACAAGUUAAGACAUGGCACUAAGUACCAGUAGGGGUGAGUUAGCAGUUUGUAGGAACCAGGAACAUCAAGAAAGAAUUUCCAGAGCAGUCCAAUUCCACCCAUUCAAAAAUUCUAUUAAUGUAUAUUUAUACUCUGCAUACAAUAACCAUUACUACAGCUAAAAUAUUUAGAUUUUAUGUAAUAUGUACUAGUUCCUCUGCUCUGGUACCCUUGGCCCUUAGGUAAUAAAUAACAUUAGUUUUUUUAGGCUUGUCAAGGCAUGUCUUUAGGAGACUGUGGAUAACAUCCAGGUGACUCUUCUUUAUAUCUUCCUUGAAUAAGAAGGUUGCUACACAUGGUUUGCCUCUAAAUAAAUUACAUGUAGAGGGAUCUUGUUUUGUAAGAUCUUUCUCAAAAUCAAAAGUAUUAGAGCUUGUAAAAAUAAGGUCUCUAAGACUGGGUAAACUCAGAUUUUUCAACAAAUCCUCAGUUCCAAACCAUCAUCACUUUCUCUGAUUGGGAAUUUUCUACAGAAAAACUACAUCUUCUUUUCAUUUUGCUCUUCACAGUUACUUGAAAAAUUGAUGUUUCACUACCAGAAUUUGUGUUUUACAAUUGAUUACCCACUUUGUGGUUGUCCUAUGGAAAACAUCCCACGGGAGAGCCAUGAGGCUCACAAAAAGUUUCAAGACCUAUGUAUGAGCACCUUCAAAGCAGAAGCAAAAAUCCAUUUACAUUUGCACAUGUAGUUGCUUUAAUUAGAACCAUGGAUUUAUCUGUAUAAGUAAGCACAGGGCAAAAUUACUUUCAAAAGAAAUCAGUGACUUGAAGAACUCUUUUUCUCCCCCGCCCCUUCCCUCCACUUCAUCCCAUUGUAAGUAACACUGCAAGUGUUGAUUAUUUUAAUAAAACAAAAAUUGAAGAAAGAACAAACCCCAAAGAAGAUUUAAGUGAUCUGCAAUGUGCAGUGGAGUGUAGAUCUGUGAAAGGGCCUGCAGGGGCUCCUCUUGCUGGGAGAAGCUGAUGUUGCUGUGUCACAGUCACAGGGUCUGUGCUGCUCUGAGAGCCCUCCCCAGCAGAGGUCCCUGGGUGCAAAUCAGCUCUUGUCACCAGCCCAGCAAUCCUGUUUCUGUCACCGGGGUUUUACAUGCAAUAAGGUCCUUCCCUGGGAGCUGAAGAUCACAGCUGGGACACAGAAAAGAGGUGGCACAGAGAAAUGUGCUAGAGGGACAAACUGAGGGGGAUUUGGAUUAGAAGAUUCAGAGGCUGGGGUGAAUUUGGUGAAAAAAACCACAAUUUUUGGGCAUUUAACCAGAACUAUUCUGUUUAGAACUCAACCGAAAAACCUGAUGUUAGCAUAACACCAGAACAAAACAACCUCUUCAGUCCCAGUAUGUAGGUAUGUUUUCCUGUUUUUUCAAAAUUGUGGAAUAAAUACCUGCCCUGAUUUACAUGUAAUGCAGUGUAUUAAAUUUUUAGUGUUUCUUCUAGGCUCAGUACAGCUCUUUCAUCCCCACUACCAUUAUGCUAAUGAUGUAGUGAAAUAACAUUGAUUUUAAAACUGUCAUUUUAUUAUUAAAAAAAAAAUCCAAACAGAUGUAAAGCCUAAAAUAUUAUUUUUCCCCCAAAAUCAGAAUAUUGUUGUCCUACCCUACAGCACCUGGAUUAGGAACAAAGGUGAAGCCAUAAACCUGAGUAUCAGGAACUCCCUUGAAAUGGGAGUGGAGAGGGAAUACAGAACCCACAAACAACAAAAUAUCUGAAGGAAGAAAUGCAACAAAAAUUGGGUAAAAUUAUCCCUUGAGUAAUGCUGGAUGAAGUCCAAACUAAAAUCACUGAACGGUGAAGCUAUUCCAAUUUAUGCCACAGUAACAUCAAAAUACUUCCUUCUCCUCAAUAAACAUCCUUUAAUUCUUUCUGGAAAAUGGAAGAGUACCACAUGUGACAAGUGUUCCUAAGCAGCAUGCUGAGCACCAAAUGUGAACUAUAAUUCAUAAUUCAUGCUCAAUUAAUCAUAAUGUAUAAGGAAUGGCUCUGUUAAUGCUUUUGCUAACUACCUAACCUAUUUUGAGAGAUGCAGGCAGAAUUUCAGCUCUUGUGACUUGCUGUUGUAAGUGACAGACUAUGGAUACCCCAGCAGCUGUCAAAGUCACCAGCCUUCCCUCAAUGAAGAGAAAAGCAAUUCUCAGUAUUGCAGGAAGCUAAGAAAAGCUCUGAAAAGCAGAAAUGAAAGUAUGUGAGGGUGGAGAACGCUAUCUUUUCUCAUGUAAAUCCCGAUGAAAAGCAGCCUCUGUAAUCCAAGCCUUGCAUCAGACUAAGAUUUGAAACAACCUCAAUUUAGCAAAGGAGCAAUUUCCUAGUGAUACAACUGAAAGAGAGGAGGUCUGGUGUCUCCAGGUAUUGUUCUGGAGUUAUUUUUACAGGACAGCCAGGGAGCAAAUCCUGAUUUAGGGGAAGAAGCUUUACCUUCACAUGCUACUAUUUUUGUUAAUCAGAAGGAGGAGUUAAAAAUGGACUGGCUCUUUGCUCUGCUCCAUUCACAUUCUGACAGAGGAAACUGAUUUGAGUCAUUAAAGCCACACUCACAGCUGAUUCUGCCCCAGAAUCUGUUUGUGGAUAUUAAAAAGCUGGACUUCAUGGUCCACCAUUUCUGAGCUGCAUAAACUGCCAAGAAGAGUGAUAACGUGAUGAAUCCUGAAAUCCUCUGGCCUAAUUUGUGUCAUGUACCCCACAGGUAUGGUGAUAUUCUAGAAUGCCUGCAGCAUAUUCAGCAGCAGGUUAACCCCUGGGAGGAAUGGGAGCACCGAUGCCACCUCCACAGCUGAACUGUGCACCUCUGCAAAGAGCCUCCCUGCAGGUUUUGGAAUGCAGCAGGGCUAUACUAAUGUGUGCAAAAGAGAUGGAAAACCAGGGCUGCUCACUCCUGUGUAAUGACAAGAGAUGGUGCAGGGUAACUUGGCCCAGACGUGGCUGGAGCUGGCUCUCUGCUCAAGGAAUGCAGUUGGGCCAUCCACAAGCAGAAGGAUCUGCUGGUGAAACUUUCUUACUCAAGCGUGGGGCCCUGGUCUUUCAUCUAACAGAGGGGGAAAAUAGAUGGAAACAAGACUUGACUGCUGCUGAUUCAUGGGGUAUUGCACCAAGCCACAAAGAGAGGUAAACUCUGGACUGCUAUUUUGAGGCCUCUUACUGAUCUUCAGAAUAGCAGAGCUUUUCUCCAGCCCUCAUCCCAGCAGCAAUGACACAACUGAAUGGACUCUUCCGUGGGUUUGGUAGCACAGAGCUCCCCCAGGACACCUUGGCCUGUGCCUACAGAAUCUGGGAGUCACACAUGAGCCCCACCCAAGCACCAUAAAAAUGACUGCUGCAGAUCCUGGCAUUCCAACACAUUGAUGAGUCAAGAAACAACAGCUUGGCACAACCAACGAGAACACGAAAUUUGCAGUCGCUGAACUAACAACUUCCAGCUCAAAGACCUGUGGCUGUAUUCAAUUGGUAUCAGUCCAAAUGGCUGAGCAUUUCUUAGGGAAAACAAGAGUCAGAAGUAGAGCAGAGCACUCCCAGGGCUGCUGGGUUUAGAGGAGCUCAGCUCUGCCCUCAGCCUGAGCCAGGCUGCCUUACAAUCAGAUAUUCUCCUCAGGCAUUGCCAGGGUAGGGGAGGAGACAAAUCAUCAAAAAGGAGCCUUGCAGCGUGCAGAGAGAGCACCAUGCUCUGCUAUUGAAGUGCAGGGUCUGCCCUUGCACAUCUGUGCUGCCAUUUAGUCCUUACAGACUGAUUCCUUCUCUCCUGGGAAUUGCAGCUCAUUCAGCAUUUCCGCUGCUUUUCCCUUUGCUGAUGUGCAGUGGGUUUAACUGGACUUCACACAUGGUCAAGUAUGUACAAUUUUGUUAUUAUCAUGCAAACUACUGCCCUUAGGACUGAAAAGCAUCUGCCUCUCAGAUGGAAGCAUGGAACUUCUUGUCCAGGGUGAGGAACCAUUAAUACCUGUGAUGAAGUUUCCAGGCCUCAUAAGGACACUGGGAGUCCUGCAUGGUUGUUGGAUAAAAAAAAAAAAUGUGCAGUUGUUUCACAAACAGCUAUGAGGCCCCUGUUCUCUUUGAUUGUAGCCAUUGGUGAAAAGACAAUUUCUCAUUAGGCCCUUUCUAUGGUCCAUGGAAUGAAAAGCAGUUUGUCCAGCACGAGGCCAGGACAGGCCCCAGCAAAGCAUCUGAAAUCCAGCUGCUAAUCAAGAAUGCCUUUGCUGGUGGGAUCCACAACUGGAAUUGCUUAUGGACCCAUCCAAAGCCAUGUACAUGCCAGAUCCUCAGGAGCAUUAUUCUCACACAACUGUUCUAACCUUGAGGAUGACUUGAGCUCUCAUCAGCCAUCUGCCUUACAAUAAGUUGACAUCCUUAUGUAUUCUCUCCGCCAAAAGGCAACUUUUAAAAUGCUAUUUAAAAAAACUGUGUACAAAUUAAACAGUCAACACGUUUUACUGCUGCUCAGUAACUGAAAUGUUUUCACUAUACUAUGCAAUCUAUAACUGCUGAAAUUACUUUCAUGUGUGUUUAUAAGUCUUCCUAUAUUUUCUCCUCAUUACUCCAAAUACAUUUUAAAAGCUUGUUAAGAUAGAUUUGUUGGUAUUUUAUAUCUAGCUGACUGUGCAUGUUAAAGGCUUCAACUGUAACUUUCCUAACUUGAAACACACUAUUCUUCAUGCUUCUUGCUAAAACACAUAUCAUUGCAACCAUGUACAUUAAUUGGCUUGUCUGGGGAAACAGAACUCAGUUUAUGAAGUCUGUCAUCCUGCUUUGUAGCUUAAUUAUAAAAUAAAAUUAAUUUUCCU
Long non-coding RNA from Passer domesticus (house sparrow), 13913 nucleotides. RefSeq lists it as uncharacterized. The record is from RefSeq and is a predicted model, not a curated record. Lineage: Eukaryota; Metazoa; Chordata; Aves; Passeriformes; Passeridae. The transcript is spliced from 3 exons.